RNAcentral lists this transfer RNA (68 nucleotides) under Saccharomyces cerevisiae T73. RNAcentral describes it as "tRNA-Pro (TGG) (tRNA-Pro-TGG-2-1)". It matches the Rfam family "tRNA". From Rfam's summary of the family: Transfer RNA (tRNA) molecules are approximately 80 nucleotides in length. Their secondary structure includes four short double-helical elements and three loops (D, anti-codon, and T loops). Lineage: Eukaryota; Fungi; Ascomycota; Saccharomycetes; Saccharomycetales; Saccharomycetaceae. The record is from RNAcentral.
GCGUGUGGUCUAGUGGUAUGAUUCUCGCUUUGGGUGCGAGAGGCCCUGGGUUCAAUUCCCAGCUCGCC